UAUAAAAACCUGCAGCUCCCAGAUAAAGUAGAGGAAUCAGAUGUGCUGCAUCCAACUGCCAGUCCCAUAACUCACACUGUCAGUAUGAAGUCAUUGCUUGUUUUCUUAAUGUUCCUGUCGUGUUUAUCAGGAGUUCACUGUGAUGUACAACUUGCCCAGUCAGAGUCAGUGGUGAUAAAGCCGGGAGGGUCUCACAAACUGUCCUGCACAGCCUCUGGCUUCACAUUCAGUGAUCAUUGGAUGGGCUGGGUUAGACAGGCUCCUGGGAAAGGAUUACAGUGGUUGUCUAAUAUAUAUGAUGCAAGUAACAUAAACUAUGCUGAUGCAGUUAAAGGAAGAUUCACCAUCUCCAAAGACAAUAAUAACAACAAGUUAUAUCUGCAAACAAACAAUCUACAAACUGAAGAUACUGCCGUGUAUUACUGUGCUAGACACACACAGUGA
Molecule: non-coding RNA, 444 nt
Organism: Xenopus laevis (African clawed frog)
Lineage: Eukaryota; Metazoa; Chordata; Amphibia; Anura; Pipidae
Source: the annotation of a RefSeq genome assembly